CUGACUAUGGGGGAAAGUGCUGCAGUUUGGGGCUAACUGUGUGUGAGGAGCUGACCUACAAGAGUAGAUCUUUCAGUUAGGCCUCUUGUUAUCUGGAAGGGGGCUGAAUUUUAUGUGACCUAGCCAGAGGGCCAGGCCAUGGAAGAUCCUGAGAGAGACAGGCAAUCACAGGGCCAAGGAAGUGCUCAAAGGGGGUGCAAGAGGCAGAUUUCUGCAACACUUUCUCCAGGCACAGGGAGGUGCCAGUAAUGACACUCUCUCCUCAUCCCUCCUCCCCUGCCUCCAUUGGACAGUGGUUUUCUAGGUUCCUUACAGACUAAGAUGUGAAGCUCUGUGAAUGUCCCUGUGGAUGCUUCUUUGAUCCCACGCAGCUCACUAUGAAAGGAAAGUGGGUCCGGUGGUUGAGGCCCUGGACUGGGACUCAGGAAGUCUGGAUUCGGUUCCUGACUGCUACAGUCUCCCUACACGACCUUGGACAGGUCAUUACUCUUUCUCCCACCCUUGGUCUGUCUUGUCUGUGUAGUUCGUUAGCUCUUUUCAGGGCAGGAGUGGUCUCUUCCUACAUGUGUGUACAGCACCUAGUGCAACAUGGCCCUGAUCUCAAUUAGCAUCGUUAGGUGCUACUGUAAUAUAAAUGGCGGCUACUACUAAUCAUCAUUGUGAGUGCUUGUGACAGGCAGUGGAAGUCUCUAGGGAUUGGGAAUGACACAUAGAAGCUUUCCACACCAAUUCCAUGAUGCUUGUUUAACCUUUGUAAAAUGAGGUGGUGGGUUUCAUUCCACCAUUUGUUCAAUGUAGUCUUGCACCCAUGCCCUGAGCCCCCUCCUGCACACCAACCCCCUUCCCUGAGCUCCCUCAUAAACCCUGCACCUCUCCUCUGCCCCAAUCCCUUGCCCUGAGCCCCUUCCUGCACAC
Molecule: long non-coding RNA, 915 nt
Organism: Mauremys reevesii (Reeves's turtle)
Lineage: Eukaryota; Metazoa; Chordata; Testudines; Geoemydidae
Exons: 3
Source: RefSeq, a predicted model, not a curated record